RNAcentral lists this ribosomal RNA (253 nucleotides) under uncultured bacterium. RNAcentral describes it as "partial 16S ribosomal RNA". It matches the Rfam family "Bacterial small subunit ribosomal RNA", at positions 524 to 776 of the family's 1533-position model. The record is from RNAcentral.
UACGUAGGGGGCAAGCGUUGUCCGGAUUUAUUGGGUGUAAAGGGUGCGUAGGCGGCUUUGUAAGUCAGUGGUGAAAUAUGGCAGCUCAACUGUCAAGGUGCCAUUGAUACUGCGGAGCUUGAGUACAGAUGAGGUAGGCGGAAUUGACGGUGUAGCGGUGAAAUGCUUAGAUAUCGGCAAGAACACCUAUAGCGAAGGCAGCUUACUAGGCUGUAACUGACGCUGAGGCACGAAAGUGUGGGGAUCAAACAGG